RNAcentral lists this non-coding RNA (378 nucleotides) under Pongo abelii (Sumatran orangutan). The record is from RNAcentral. Lineage: Eukaryota; Metazoa; Chordata; Mammalia; Primates; Hominidae.
AAUCACCAACUUCUUACCAUUGACACACUUAUAACCGUUUCCAGAUUUAUGGAGGAUGAAGACCUAUCGUACCAACGUGGCAGUUGAAAAAUGAAUUGCAACACAAUGAGAUAUAUUCACGUUAGGAGAGGAGCAGUACCUGUGCAUUCAGAAUUGGAACUGCAGGUGUAACAUUACUGUUGAUAGAGGCAUCUCCUGCCGCGGUCCACUCAGUCUGAGCUGCCAGCCCGCCUAGCUUCUGCAAAGCCCCAAGUUGUCAUGGCAACCACUUCCUGAGACUUGACACUCAUGCCUGCAGACUCUGGGUCCUGACUUAGAUAAUUUUAUUUUUUUAAAAGGCAUAAAUUGAUAGUGCAAUAAAAUCUGGUUUAAAGAUUG